CAGCAGCCGCGGUAAUACGUAGGGGGCGAGCGUUGUCCGGAAUGAUUGGGCGUAAAGGGCGCGUAGGCGGCUGUGUAAGUCAGUAGUGGAAGUCCAGCUUUUAAGGUUGGAAGUGCUAUUGAAACUGUGCAGCUUGAGUGCAGGAGAGGUUAUCGGAAUUCCCGGUGUAGCGGUGAAAUGCGUAGAGAUCGGGAGGAACACCAGUGGCGAAGGCGGGUAACUGGACUGCAACUGACGCUGAGGCGCGAAAGUGUGGGGAGCAAACAGGAUUAGAUACCCUGGUAGUCCACACUGUAAACGAUGAAUGCUAGGUGUAGGGGGUAUCGACCCCUUCUGUGCCGGAGUAAACACAAUAAGCAUUCCGCCUGGGGAGUACGGUCGCAAGAUUAAAACUCAAAGGAAUUGACGGGGGCCCGCACAAGCAGCGGAGCAUGUGGUUUAAUUCGAAGCAACGCGAAGAACCUUACCAGGUCUUGACAUCCAGGUAAAGCUGCAGAGAUGCAGUGUGUGCUUGCACAAUCUGAGACAGGUGGUGCAUGGCC
Molecule: ribosomal RNA, 542 nt
Filed under: uncultured archaeon
Lineage: Archaea
Description: bacterial SSU rRNA
Rfam family: Bacterial small subunit ribosomal RNA
Source: RNAcentral